RNAcentral lists this long non-coding RNA (247 nucleotides) under Elaeis guineensis (African oil palm). RNAcentral's name for it is "long non-coding RNA (EGUI_LNC004165)". The record is from RNAcentral. Lineage: Eukaryota; Viridiplantae; Streptophyta; Magnoliopsida; Arecales; Arecaceae.
ACUUUGCUUAUAGUUCAGUGGUUGAGUCCGAGUCAUUAAGCUGAUUAGAUCACUGAAUGCUUCGAGUUGAUCUAUGUCAUUAAGAUUAAUUAGUGUGACUGAUAUAGGUGUCCUUGACCAACUUGUCUCUAAUCCUUUUCAUGACUUAGUAAAAUCAGUGGAAGGAUUUACGACUUGCCGGUUGGAUCAACUAAUCUUUAGUCUUUUUUAUGACUUGGUAAAGUCAGUGAAAAGAUUUAUGACUUGC